Molecule: ribosomal RNA, 888 nt
Filed under: uncultured bacterium
Lineage: Bacteria
Description: bacterial SSU rRNA
Rfam family: Bacterial small subunit ribosomal RNA
Source: RNAcentral
AGAGUUUGAUCCUGGCUCAGGAUGAACGCUGGCGGCGUGCUUAAUACAUGUAGGUCGGACGGGGCGUUAGCAAUAGCGCUUAGUGGCGAACGGGUGAGUAACACGUUGGUGACCUGCCCCGAAGCGGGGGAUAACAGUUCGAAAGGACUGCUAAUACCGCGUAAUGUAGUGAGGAUUAGAAUCUUGCUACGAAAGCAGCAAUGCGCUUUGGGAGGGACCUGCGGCCCAUCAGCUAGUUGGUAAGGUAGUGGCUUACCAAGGCGACGACGGGUAGGGGGCCUGAGAGGGUGAUCCCCCACACUGGCACUGAAACACGGGCCAGACACCUACGGGUGGCAGCAGUAGGGAAUAUUGCACAAUGGGCGAAAGCCUGAUGCAGCAACGCCGCGUGCACGAUGAAGGCCUUCGGGUUGUAAAGUGCUUUUCUGCAGGACGAGGAAGGACGGUACUGUAGGAAUAAGGAUCGGCUAACUACGUGCCAGCAGCCGCGGUAACACGUAGGAUCCGAGCGUUAUCCGAAUUCACUGGGCGUAAAGGGCUAGCAGGCGGCCGGAAAAGUUGGAUGUGAAAUCUCCUGGCUCAACUGGGAGAGGCCGUUCAAGACUAACUGGCUCGAGGGCGAUAGAGGGAGGUGGAAUUCCAGGUGUAGUGGUGAAAUGCGUAGAUAUCUGGAGGAACACCAGUGGCGAAAGCGGCCUUCUGGAUCGCACCUGACGCUGAGAAGCGAAAGCUAGGGGAGCAAACGGGAUUAGAAACCCCGGUAGUCCUAGCCGUAAACGAUGUAGACUAGGUGUUGGUGGGGUAAAAGCCAUCAGUGCCGCAGCAAACGCGAUAAGUCUACCGCCUGGGGACUACGGCCGCAAGGUUGAAACUCAAAGGAAUUGACGG